UCAAUUUGGUGACCUAGUAACUUCUUACUCUUACAUUGAAAACACCUCACAUUAACUUUAAAUUAUCAAGAAAAUAAAACUGUUCCAGACAUUCUAACUUGUAUUAUCAAGAAAAGAAAAUUUUUCCAGACAUCCGAUUUCCAUUUAUUUAAUAAUUACAGACAAUCAAGAAACCAUAAAGUAAAAGCAGCACACUAUCACCAAUAAAAUGGUAAUUCCAAAUGUAAGGUCACUGUAAUUCACCAGUGAAAUAAUACAUAUCAGAACAGUUCUGCAACUCCACAACUUGGAUAACCACCAUCACCACCAAUACAUCUUCUCACCAUGAAGAGCCUAUUAAGUCUAAUAAACAGAUACCAAAAUUGGUCUUGGGCUCCUCGUUGAGGCCGUUUGUCCUCAUAUAAAAGAAAAAGAAAAAAAAAUUGUUCAACUCAAACUUCUACAGCAUUCAAUAAUCAGCAAUGAACUACCCGAUUCAUUAAGUUGGAGUGCAGCUAUUUACUUUAAUAAAGAUAUACAACAGGUCAACAUUUAGCCAUUCAAUCUAUAUUGAAUUACUCAUAUAUGAACAUUACAAAGAGGCUUCUGAAAGAAUAUUUUUGAAAGGGAAUAAAUGGAAAAGACAGGAACCUUAAAUAAGCCCCUCGAGACAAUCAAAGUGAAACUCUAAGCAAAGUGGUUGAAUGAUUCCCAGCUCCAUAAAGUUCAUAAUCCACCAUCACUAUAAUUUGGGAAGGUAACACAUUUGAAAACUUUGCACUUAGGACAUAAGACAUAUCCAAUCUGCAUCAAAAUUUUAAGCAUAAAAGUAAGGAAUAUCAUUAUAAUCUCUUUUAAAGACGCAUCUAUGCUUCACAAGUCAUACAUACCUACAGGAUUCUUAGGUACAUUCAAACAGAGAUCAACAAGCAAUAGCAUGACAGACACAAGCUCUGCAAGAUGGACAUCGACGGUAGAUCCGCUUAUUUUCAGCUUUCACAUUGGUUUUUUGUCCUUCACAGAAAUCACAAAGUAGCCAUCCUUUUCCAUUACAAGGUUCACACAUGAUAACCGAGUCAACCUUCACAAAGACUGCUCAUCUUGCAGCAGCUCCUGCUGCACUGGAGCACAGUGCAAAGGCUUGAAGAAAUGCCUGGUGGUGGACGUGGUGUUCAUCGUCCUCUUCCAUGGCGACGCCGACAUCCUUAAGUAAUUGAUCUUCGGUGGACUUAAUACCAUAAGAAUUGCCAUUUUUAAUUUUACAACUCUCCCCUCCCAGCUCCAGUUAUGCGAUGGCGAUAACGUCAACACUCAACACAGACUGAGAGCAACAAGAGAAGAAUGCACCCUUUUUCUCACAAAUAACUAAACUGCCA
Molecule: unclassified non-coding RNA, 1355 nt
Filed under: Hevea brasiliensis (rubber tree)
Lineage: Eukaryota; Viridiplantae; Streptophyta; Magnoliopsida; Malpighiales; Euphorbiaceae
Source: RNAcentral